Molecule: ribosomal RNA, 468 nt
Filed under: uncultured bacterium
Lineage: Bacteria
Description: partial 16S ribosomal RNA
Rfam family: Bacterial small subunit ribosomal RNA
Source: RNAcentral
GACGAACGCUGGCGGCGUGCUUAACACAUGCAAGUCGAACGGAAAGGCCCUGCUUUUGUGGGGUGCUCGAGUGGCGAACGGGUGAGUAACACGUGAGUAACCUGCCCUUGACUUUGGGAUAACUUCAGGAAACUGGGGCUAAUACCGGAUAGGAGCUCCUGCUGCAUGGUGGGGGUGGGAACGUUUCGGCGGUUGGGGAUGGAUUCGCGGCUUACCGGCUUGUUGGUGGGGUAGUGGCUUACCAAGGCUUUGACGGGUACCCGGCCUGAGAGGGUGACCGGCCACAUGGGGACUGAGAUACGGCGCAGACUCCUACGGGAGGCAGCAGUGGGGAAUAUUGCACAAUGGGCGGAAGCCUGAUGCAGCAACGCCGCGGGCGGGAUGACGGCCUGCGGGUUGUAAACCGCUUUCGCCUGUGACGAAGCGUGAGUGACGGUAAUGGGUAAAGAAGCACCGGCUAACUACGUG